ACAAACUGUGAAAAGACCAACAGCUGUUAGUGAGCUAAGAAGAACUAAAGGAUUUACAUGCCUGAGCAAGACAGAAGAGUAAGAGUCCAGUCUCUGUGGCCCAAUGCAUGACGCUCUGACAGACAAGCCUUAUUCAAGCUUACCAUAUUGACUGAGACUGUUGAACCUGCAUGAAGAUGAACUUCUUCCUCUGCCCAAUCCUAUUUCCUCUCUUUUGCUUUUAUAGAUGUUAGUCCAUAAUAAAUAACUUAUACCACAAAUA
Long non-coding RNA from Callorhinus ursinus (northern fur seal), 262 nucleotides. RefSeq lists it as uncharacterized. NCBI's taxonomy places the organism in Eukaryota, Metazoa, Chordata, Mammalia, Carnivora, Otariidae. The record is from RefSeq and is a predicted model, not a curated record.